Molecule: non-coding RNA, 1628 nt
Organism: Chinchilla lanigera (long-tailed chinchilla)
Lineage: Eukaryota; Metazoa; Chordata; Mammalia; Rodentia; Chinchillidae
Source: the annotation of a RefSeq genome assembly
AAAACUCAGAAAGUGCUUAUAUAAACUAGGAGGCAAUCAGAGUCUCUGAACACAGACAUCCAGGGAGAAGAAAACACACUGUACAGAGAAAUACGGGCCACAUCAUGCUCUCCAGUCUGCUGCUGGUGUUCAUAGCCAUCAUCUACUCUGGACACACUGCAACACAGAAAGUGACUCAAGUCCAGACGGCUCUGUCGAGGCCAGAGGGGAAAGCAGCCACCCUGGACUGUUCCUAUGAGACAAGUGUAGCCCUGUAUGAUUUGUUUUGGUACCAGCAGCUUCUCAGUGGAGAGAUGGUUCUACUUAUUCAUCAGAGUUACUCUGGUAAUAAUGCAAACACUGGCCGCUAUUCUGGGAAUUUCCAGAAAAGAGCUAAGACAAUCGUCCUCACCAUUUCAGCCUUGCAAAUGGAAGAUUUUGCAACAUAUUUCUGUGCUCUUUGGGAAUGCACAGUGCUUGCAGUGACAAUAAAAGCUGAACAAAAACUCAGGAGCUCCAUAAGAGACAGGCCCUGUUGUGGGAGUCCAGCUGAGACUCCCACCUGCAGAUUCCACACCAGAAGGGAGCCUGGUGGUUGCUUCAUCUGCGGUCUGGAUCAGAAGAUUCAGUUCUAAGUUAAUCCCGUUUCUGAUUUUUUUAGAAACUGGUGUCAGGAAACACUUCUAACGCAUUCUACUUGAAUGUUUGAGUGAAAAAUACAGAAGUUGGGUAAAGUUGUCUAAAGUUGGAAUAUUUAGCUCAUAAUUAUUUCAUAUGUUGGUUUCACUUACAGAGGGUCUCAGCAUAAAUCUGGAUCUGGUCAUCUGGAAUAGUAAUGCUAAUCAUUUCCUUAGACUCUCUUAGGUUUUAGAUCAGUUAGGUGCAAUCUGGGCAGUAGUACCACCAGAGUGAUUUAAAUAAGACAGGAAUUAUGCAGAAUAGGCCUCUGCAAUUGCUGGAGCUGCUGAGGGAGUCUCUGUGAAGCUUUUGUCCUCACAUCUGGUAAUGAGCCUGAACUGACUUAAUGUGAGCCAGACCCACAUUUGGGAAUGGAAUUUGGAUGAAGAUAAACACAUACAGAGACUGUGACUUGAAAGAAUAUUAUGGGACCUAUUAAGACAACUGAAAUCUACAAGGGAAAAUUAAAACUUGAGAUCUCCUUCAUCUCACUUGUUGGAUGACUUUCAAGAGAACAAAAACCAUUGGCCAUCACAGUCCAUGAACACUUGGGCUAAGACAAAAAGGAAGUGAAGAAGAAGUUGUAAUGGGAAGUAGAAGAGAUGCGUUAACUGGAAAAUGAGCUGACAGAUUUAUGACAACAUGUGCGAGCUGCCCAAGUGCAUGUAGCCCUAAAACUGCAGAGCUGCUAAGAAAUAGCUGCUGAAUCACACUGACCUUUCAUGUCUUGUACCACUUUUUUUAUGACCGACCCUAAACCAGAAAAAUAUAUGCAAGCAAAUUCUAGGAAAUAUGUAUCUAGAGGGUUCAGUUGAGACAUGUUAAAGCUACUGCAGUGCACCCUUAUCAGCUUGACAUCCAUAUAUACUUCCUUUAACAACAUUUAAAGUUUAUAUGAAAACAACAGAACAAUCAUGGCUCCUACUAAUGAGACGCAGCUAUCCCUUAUCAACCAAAACUGUGCCUAUCUU